RNAcentral lists this ribosomal RNA (612 nucleotides) under Serica sp. BMNH 678367. Its description in RNAcentral is "partial 16S large subunit ribosomal RNA". It matches the Rfam family "Bacterial large subunit ribosomal RNA", at positions 1844 to 2752 of the family's 2925-position model. The record is from RNAcentral. Lineage: Eukaryota; Metazoa; Arthropoda; Insecta; Coleoptera; Scarabaeidae.
UUUAAAGUCUAAUCUGCCCUAUGAGGAUUUAAAUGGCCGCGGUAUUUUGACCGUGCAAAGGUAGCAUAAUAAUUAGUUUUUUAAUUGAAAGCUGGAAUGAAUGAUUGAACGAGAAAAUAGCUGUCUCAAUUUAAUUUUAUUAGAAUUUUAUUUUUAAGUAAAAAAGCUUAAAUAGGUUUAAAAGACGAGAAGACCCUAUAGAGUUUAAUAAUUAAUUUAUUAUUGAUUUUUUAGUAUUAUUUUACUAUUAAUUAAUUAAUUAUUUUAUUGGGGUGAUAGAAAAAUAUAUUUAACUUUUUUUUAAUUAUUACAUUAAUUUAUGAAUUUUUGAUCCAUUAUUUAUGAUUAUAAGAUUAAGUUACCUUAGGGAUAACAGCGUAAUUUUUUUUUAGAGUUCUUAUCGAAAGAAAAGAUUGCGACCUCGAUGUUGGAUUAAAAUUAAUAUAAGGUGUAGAAGCUUUACUAUUAGGUCUGUUCGACCUUUAAAAUUUUACAUGAUCUGAGUUUAAACCGGCGUGAGCCAGGUUGGUUUCUAUCUUUAAUUAAUUAAAAUAUUUUAGUACGAAAGGACCAAAUAUUUAUAAUAAUUAUUUAUUUUUGAAUAAUAGUAGU